ACAUUCUUGUAUGGGAAGAAGAAACAUAUAAUUAACCCUGUGCACUGAGUGUUGUUUGGAUGUCGAUGGCCUUCACAAAUUAAAGGAGGAUUCGACGAGACAUUGUGGAGGUGACGCACUCGCCGGUGAGGAGCUCCGGGUCANNNNNNNNNNCCUUGUAUGGGAAGAAGAAAGAUAUAAUUAACCCUGUGAACUGACUGUUGUUUGGAUGCCGAUGGCCGUCACCAAUUAAAGGAGGACUCACCAAGACAUUGUGGAGGUGACGCACUCGCCGGUGAGGAGCUCCGGGUCAAGACAGCAGCGGCCGACGAGCAGAGUCCACUCGUGGAGGAGGUCAUCCGGCUGAUUGGUAUAUGCCUUUUGUACAUUCUUGCCUGCAACAAGAACUUCGACUGGUUUGAUUUGGUUGAGUUUGAUUUGAUUAUGUAGUUGCAGACUUGCGGUAGUGUUUAAUUCUCUGAUGCAGCAUUUGCUUUGUAGGUCUUUCUGUUGGUGAACGUCGCAUGGGAAACAAAAUUUUCCUACGCGCACGAAGACCUAUCAUGGUGAUGUCCAUC
RNAcentral lists this long non-coding RNA (557 nucleotides) under Hordeum vulgare. RNAcentral describes it as "long non-coding RNA (HVUL_LNC017087)". Lineage: Eukaryota; Viridiplantae; Streptophyta; Magnoliopsida; Poales; Poaceae. The record is from RNAcentral.